This 240-nucleotide unclassified non-coding RNA is filed under the name soil metagenome. Its description in RNAcentral is "partial contains 5.8S ribosomal RNA, internal transcribed spacer 2, and large subunit ribosomal RNA". The record is from RNAcentral.
AACGCACGAGACCUGCGGACCUGCGGAGGGAUCAUUAUUGUUUACGUCCUUUCACACCAUAAACAACUUUCUUGUGAACUUGAAAAUCCCUGGAGGGGGAGGGAGGAAGCGAAAGCAACCAACCAACCUCGUCAAAUGGGUGGUCUGUGCUAGGGGAGCAUGGUAUCACACCAAACUGGUUCAAGAGUGGUUUUGGUUCUUCUAUUUGUUGAUGAACCAAUCAAUCACACCUUUUACUGG